GAUCAAAGAUUUUUUCCCACGGUGCCACUUUUAGUUGACUGAUUUUAUAUAUACCGCCUUGCAUUUCAAGCCUUUGGAAUAACUGACCUAAGUCGAGAACUCCGUUAAAAAAUAAAUCGCUAACACAUAUCUUGCAAUAAUUUGUUUUCCAUGUUUGAAGAAACAGGUGAUUUACGUACUUUGUCAUCAUUGAUGACUCCGUAAACAUUUGGCUUUGAAGCUUUUUCUAUAGAUUGCCUUGACAACUCUGUUUCUUUUUCUCCUGCGCAGGAUUGCUGUCUACUUUGAUAUCUUGUAGUGACUUUAUUUAUAUUUUUGUUAAUGACUUUUAGCUCUUCGAUGGUUAUUCUCGAUAACGCAUCUUCUACGUAAUUGUCUUUACCCUUUAGAUACUCUACAGUGAAGUUGUACUCUUCUAUUUCAAGUCUUAUUCGCGUGAAUUUGGAACUCGGAUUUAUCAUGGAAAAUAGGCACAUAAGUGGUCUGUGAUCUGUUUUGAUAGUAAAGUGUCUACCAUAAAUAUAUGGUCUGAAGAGUGUUAUUGCCCAAUGAAUUGCCACAACUUGGGAUCUCGCUGGCAGAAUUAUGGAGUUAUUCCCAGAACAGGAUAUUAUUGGAACAUAAAUUGGAAAUUUUAAGUUGAUUGGUCUAAUUAUAAAAUUUAUUUUUUAAUUAAAUCGAUUCCUAAUAUUUUAUCACAGGGAAUAGCGAAUCGUAAAUUUACAAAAUGAAAAUUAUGUGGGAUUAUAUAUUUAGUAGUCUGUAUCUCAAUUUCGGACCGAGUGUCAGGAAAAAUAUCUGCAUUUUCUUUGAGGAUUGAUAUGUUUGCACCAGUGUCUAUUAAAAAUAAAAGUUGCUUUCCUGUUGCUACAUUUUUAAAA
Molecule: long non-coding RNA, 881 nt
Organism: Drosophila biarmipes
Lineage: Eukaryota; Metazoa; Arthropoda; Insecta; Diptera; Drosophilidae
Exons: 2
Source: RefSeq, a predicted model, not a curated record